Molecule: ribosomal RNA, 705 nt
Filed under: uncultured Burkholderiales bacterium
Lineage: Bacteria; Pseudomonadati; Pseudomonadota; Betaproteobacteria; Burkholderiales
Description: SSU rRNA
Rfam family: Bacterial small subunit ribosomal RNA
Source: RNAcentral
GCUCCGCUGACGAGUGGCGAACGGGUGAGUAAUAUAUCGGAACGUACCCAAGAGUGGGGGAUAACGUAGCGAAAGUUACGCUAAUACCGCAUACGAUCUAUGGAUGAGAGCAGGGGACCUUCGGGCCUUGUGCUCCUGGAGCGGCCGAUAUCUGAUUAGCUAGUUGGUGAGGUAAAGGCUCACCAAGGCGACGAUCAGUAGCUGGUCUGAGAGGACGACCAGCCACACUGGAACUGAGACACGGUCCAGACUCCUACGGGAGGCAGCAGUGGGGAAUUUUGGACAAUGGGCGCAAGCCUGAUCCAGCAAUGCCGCGUGAGUGAAGAAGGCCUUCGGGUUGUAAAGCUCUUUUGUCAGGGAAGAAACGGCUGUGGCUAAUAUCCACGGCUAAUGACGAUACCUGAAGAAUAAGCACCGGCUAACUACGUGCCAGCAGCCGCGGUAAUACGUAGGGUGCAAGCGUUAAUCGGAAUUACUGGGCGUAAAGCGUGCGCAGGCGGUUUUGUAAGUCUGUCGUGAAAUCCCCGGGCUCAACCUGGGAAUUGCGAUGGAGACUGCAAGGCUAGAAUCUGGCAGAGGGGGGUAGAAUUCCACGUGUAGCAGUGAAAUGCGUAGAGAUGUGGAGGAACACCGAUGGCGAAGGCAGCCCCCUGGGUCAAGAUUGACGCUCAUGCACGAAAGCGUGGGGAGCAAACAGGAUUAGAU